This 226-nucleotide long non-coding RNA is filed under the name Elaeis guineensis (African oil palm). RNAcentral describes it as "long non-coding RNA (EGUI_LNC034682)". Lineage: Eukaryota; Viridiplantae; Streptophyta; Magnoliopsida; Arecales; Arecaceae. The record is from RNAcentral.
UGGUGCAUAGUGCACCGUCUAUCGCACGAUGGAUGGUCGUGCGUAGAUGAACGUCCGUUGCACGUGGUUAUGCAUGACUGUCUAUCGCAUGAUGGACGGGGUGCAUUAUGUACAGUACAGUGCGGUGCACAGCAAAGAAUCCGUGUGGAAUAUAUCCUUUGUUUUUCUUCUCUUUGAGAGUUAAAAGGAUGGGGUUGCAGUAGUAUGGUUGGUGUUGUUGUCAAGG